GGCCUCGUAGCUCAGUUGGUUAGAGCUUUGGCUGUACUAAAGCCUUCCCCUUGCUGUUUUGGGUUCGAAUCCCACCGAGGUCG
This 83-nucleotide transfer RNA is filed under the name Schistocephalus solidus. It matches the Rfam family "tRNA". Rfam says of the family: Transfer RNA (tRNA) molecules are approximately 80 nucleotides in length. The record is from Rfam by way of RNAcentral. Lineage: Eukaryota; Metazoa; Platyhelminthes; Cestoda; Diphyllobothriidea; Diphyllobothriidae.